This 502-nucleotide ribosomal RNA is filed under the name uncultured bacterium. RNAcentral's name for it is "bacterial SSU rRNA". It matches the Rfam family "Bacterial small subunit ribosomal RNA", at positions 28 to 517 of the family's 1533-position model. The record is from RNAcentral.
GAUGAACGCUAGCUACAGGCUUAACACAUGCAAGUCGAGGGGAAACGAUAUUGGAAGCUUGCUUCCGAUAGGCGUCGACCGGCGCACGGGUGAGUAACGCGUAUCCAACCUGCCCAUCACUUGGGGAUAACCUUGCGAAAGUAAGACUAAUACCCAAUGACGUCUCUAGAAGACAUCUGAAAGAGAUUAAAGAUUUAUCGGUGAUGGAUGGGGAUGCGUCUGAUUAGCUUGUUGGCGGGGUAACGGCCCACCAAGGCGACGAUCAGUAGGGGUUCUGAGAGGAAGGUCCCCCACAUUGGAACUGAGACACGGUCCAAACUCCUACGGGAGGCAGCAGUGAGGAAUAUUGGUCAAUGGACGAGAGUCUGAACCAGCCAAGUAGCGUGCAGGAUAACGGCCCUAUGGGUUGUAAACUGCUUUUAUAAGGGAAUAAAGUGAGUCUCGUGAGACUUUUUGCAUGUACCUUAUGAAUAAGGACCGGCUAAUUCCGUGCCAGCAGCCG